GCUUGUGAUUUAUUGCAUCCGGUGGAUGCCUUGAUAUUCACCAAACGAGUAGUUUAUACAGAUAACAACGAAGUUGCUGCUUCUAGAGCAGCUAGUGAUCGGUUGUUGAAACCACCUAGCCAAUCACAACACAGGGAACUGAAACAUCUUAGUACCUGUUGAGAAAAGAUAUCCAAGAUAUUUCGUUAGUAACAGCGAGUGAAACCGAACCAGGCUGAUCUGGUAACCUUAGUUCGUUGGUAAUUGUCAGGAUAGACAAGCGAUACACGGUGAUAGCCCAUAGCCAUUAACAACGAGGUUAACCAUUAAAAGUAGGAUGGAACACAAUGGAUUCCGUCCGAAGAUAGGAGGACCACCUUCUAAGCCUAAACAUUGGGAACAAUCGAUAGUGAACUAGUACCGUGAGGGAAAGGUGAAACAGAUGUCCGAACAGGACAGUGAAACAGAUCCUGAAACCGGAUGCUAACAAGCAGUCGGAGGGUCCAAAGACCUGACGACGUACCUUUUGUAUAAUGGGUCAACGAGUUACUGUCACAAGCAAAGCCGAGGCUUAUACCGAGGCGAAGCGAAAGCAAGUCCACAAAGGGCAUGAUAUAAACUUAAUGUUUAUUACGUUUGUGGCAUUAAACCCGAAACCGAGUGAUCUAACCAUGGACAGAUUGAAGAUCAGCUGAACUGACCGAAGGAUCGAACCCGUACGUGUUGCAAAACGUUGGGAUGAUCUGUGGUUAGGGGUGAAAGACCAAUCAAACUCGGAGAUAGCUGGUUCUCUGCGAAAUCUAUUUAAGUAGAGUGUUAAGCGAACAGCAUCAGGGGUAGAGCUCUGGAUGGCUAUGGGCAACAUCAGUUGCAUCAAAUCCAACCAAACUUCGAAUACUGAUGUCGGUGUACUUAAUACACACACUAUGAGCGAUAACGUCCAUAGUGGAGAGGGAAACAACCCAGACCUUGGGUUAAGGUCCUUAAAUCUAGACCAAGUGUUAAAGGAUGUUUUGACUGAAGACCGAUUGGGAUGUAGGCUCAGAAGUGGUCAUCAUCUAAGGAAAGUGUAACAACUCACCAAUUUGUAGUCAAUGCACCGAAAAUGUAACGGGACGAAGUCUAGUACCGAAACCAAUGGUGUUGCCAAUCUGGCAAUACGGUAGCAGAGCAUUCUGUAAGCCAACAAAGAUAUGCCGACAGGUAUGUUGGAGGCAUCAGAAGUGAGAAUGUUGACAUGAGUAACGAUAAUUGAAAGAAAGAACCAUUCACACCGAAUGAUCAAGGUUUCCUGUUUAAAGUCAAUCUGAACAGGGUUAGCCGGUUCCUAAGGCCAAGCGUAAGCGCAUAACCGAUGGUAAUCACGUUAAUAUUCGUGAGCCUUCUUGAAGACUUAAGAUCUACAAUGUCCGAUCUAAUCUGGUUUGAUUGUGGCAUUGGAUAUCUUAACAAGAAAAUCUUCAAGAUCUAUGACCGUACCUAAAACCAACACAGGUGAUCGGGUAGAGUAUACCAAGGUGUUUGAGAUAAUUGUACUGAAGGAACUCGGCAAAUUACAUGCGUAACUUCGGGAGAAGCAUGACCUGAUGUGGGUAACCAUAUCCAGGUGGAACAAAAAUGGGGGAAGCGACUGUUUAUCAAAAACACAGGACUCUGCCAAAUCGUAAGAUGACGUAUAGAGUCUGACACCUGCCCGGUGCUGACAAAUGAAAUUCGGAUGUUCGAAGCAUCCGGUAUAAGUUCCAGUAAACGGCGGCCGUAACUAUAACGGUCCAAAGGUAGCGAAACCCCUUGUCGGGUAAGUUCCGACCAGCAUGAAUGGUGUAACGACUUCCCCACUGUCUCCAGUACAAGCUCAGUGAAAUUGAAAUCCUCGUGAAGAUGCGAGGUACCUGCGGCAAGACGGAAAGACCCCGUGCACCUUCACUGCAACCUUGUAUUGACCUUGAUCAUGUCGAAGUGUAGAGUAGACGUAGACGAUGACCGAUCUAACUCGGAAGUCACCAAUGAAACACCGUCCUUCGAUCAAGAUCAGAUCUAAUCGUAGUUAGGUCAAUCCUGAUACAAGAUCCUGCAAGGUGGGUAGUUUGACUGGGAUGGUCACCUCCUAAAGAGUAACAGAGGUGUGCACAAGGUAGGCUCAUGACGUUUGGAAAUCGUCAGUAGAGUACAAUGGCAUAUGCCUGCCGAAGACUGCGAGGCAGACAUGUCGAGCAGAGACGUAAGUCGGUCAUAGUGAUCCGAUAACACCAUGUGGAAGGGUUAUUGCCAACGGAUUAAAGGUACGCCGGGGAUAACAGGCUAAUAGCUCCCAAGAGUUCUUAUCGACGGAGCUGCUUGGCACCUCGAUGUCGACUCAUCGCAUCCUGGGGCUGAACAAGGUCCCAAGGGUAUGGCUGUUCGCCAUUUAAAGCGGUACGUGAGUUGGGUUCAGAACGUCGCAAGACAGUUCGGUCCCUAUCUGCCGUGGGUUCAAGGGUAUUGACAGGACCUGUCUCCAGUACGAGAGGACCGAGAUGGACAUACCUCUGGUCUACCUGUUGUCGUUACCAACGGCAUGGCAGGAUAGCUAAGUAUGGAACAGAUAACAGCUGAAUGCAUCUAAGCCGGAAGCUAACCUGAAAACAAACCCUAAGUAAGAGUUGUGAUAGACCAUCACGUUGAUAGGUCAGAUGUGUAAGUGCGGCAACGCACUCAGCUAACUGAUACUAACUAUUCGAAAACAAGCAACA
This 2711-nucleotide ribosomal RNA is filed under the name Candidatus Hodgkinia cicadicola. RNAcentral describes it as "bacterial LSU rRNA". It matches the Rfam family "Bacterial large subunit ribosomal RNA". Lineage: Bacteria; Pseudomonadati; Pseudomonadota; Alphaproteobacteria; Hyphomicrobiales. The record is from RNAcentral.